RNAcentral lists this ribosomal RNA (433 nucleotides) under uncultured bacterium. Its description in RNAcentral is "partial 16S ribosomal RNA". It matches the Rfam family "Bacterial small subunit ribosomal RNA", at positions 29 to 507 of the family's 1533-position model. The record is from RNAcentral.
AACGAACGCUGGCGGCAUGCCUAACACAUGCAAGUCGAACGAGACCUUCGGGUCUAGUGGCGCACGGGUGCGUAACGCGUGGGAACCUGCCCUUAGGUUCGGAAUAACUCCCCGAAAGGGGUGCUAAUACCGGAUAAUGUCUUCGGACCAAAGAUUUAUCGCCUUUGGAUGGGCCCGCGUUGGAUUAGCUAGUUGGUAGGGUAAAAGCCUACCAAGGCGACGAUCUAUAGCUGGUCUGAGAGGAUGAUCAGCCACACUGGGACUGAGACACGGCCCAGACUCAUACGAGAGGCAGCAGUGGGGAAUAUUGCACAAUGGGCGAAAGCCUGAGCCAGCAAUGCCGCGUGAGUGAUGAAGGCCUUAGGGGUGUAAAGCUCUUUUACCCGGGAUGAUAAUGACAGUACCGGGAGAAUAAGCUCCGGCUAACUCCGUG